Molecule: ribosomal RNA, 374 nt
Filed under: Leptospira borgpetersenii serovar Ballum
Lineage: Bacteria; Pseudomonadati; Spirochaetota; Leptospiria; Leptospirales; Leptospiraceae
Description: bacterial SSU rRNA
Rfam family: Bacterial small subunit ribosomal RNA
Source: RNAcentral
GUAAUACGGAGGGUGCAAGCGUUAAUCGGAAUUACUGGGCGUAAAGCGCACGCAGGCGGUUUGUUAAGUCAGAUGUGAAAUCCCCGCGCUUAACGUGGGAACUGCAUUUGAAACUGGCAAGCUAGAGUCUUGUAGAGGGGGGUAGAAUUCCAGGUGUAGCGGUGAAAUGCGUAGAGAUCUGGAGGAAUACCGGUGGCGAAGGCGGCCCCCUGGACAAAGACUGACGCUCAGGUGCGAAAGCGUGGGGAGCAAACAGGAUUAGAUACCCUGGUAGUCCACGCCGUAAACGAUGUCUACUAGUCGUUGGGGAACUUGAUUCCUUAGUGACGCAGCUAACGCAAUAAGUAGACCGCCUGGGGAGUACGGCCGCAAGG